UACGGGGGGAGCAAGCGUUGUUCGGAUUUACUGGGCGUAAAGGGCGCGUAGGCGGCCUCUGCAAGUCGACUGUGAAAUCUCCGGGCUUAACCCGGAAAGGUCAGCCGAUACUGCAGGGCUAGAGUGCAGAAGAGGCAACUGGAAUUCUCGGUGUAGCGGUGAAAUGCGUAGAUAUCGAGAGGAACACCUGCGGCGAAGGCGGGUUGCUGGGCUGACACUGACGCUGAGGCGCGAAAGCUAGGGGAGCGAACGGG
Molecule: ribosomal RNA, 254 nt
Filed under: uncultured bacterium
Lineage: Bacteria
Description: partial 16S ribosomal RNA
Rfam family: Bacterial small subunit ribosomal RNA
Source: RNAcentral